Phascolarctos cinereus (koala) is the source of this 248-nucleotide non-coding RNA. NCBI's taxonomy places the organism in Eukaryota, Metazoa, Chordata, Mammalia, Diprotodontia, Phascolarctidae. The record is from RefSeq and is a predicted model, not a curated record.
ACCUGUACUGUACUGGGGGCACUCCCCCAACCUUUGUGUUUUUAAAAGUUUUCUUUUUUAUUGUGAACUUAGCUACAGAAAACAUUAACAUUCCUAGCUACGAAGACCAGAAAAUAAUUGUUUUAAGAAACUGAACUGGACGUUGUUAAGAAACAUAUGUCAGCAGGCAGAGGGAGUCAGAAGCAGAACGCAAGACGGAACCAGAAGUCCCGGGAUUAGAAGGAAAGAUAGACCAAAAAAAAAAAAAA